UUUUAUCUGUAUUCUAUCUGUUACAGAAAGCCUCGUCAGUAUUUUUCUGCUUGCUUUAUUGAGUAAAUAGCAUUCUUAACGCUUAGAGACAUAGCCUUUCACCAAAGUAUAGUUUCAGAAAAAUAUUAAAAUCAUUUAACUCUUCUGUCUUAUUUUUCUUGUGGAACUUUAAUUUAUAUUUUUGGUAACAGGAGGCAUAUAUUAUAUGUUUUAAGAGUUUAUAUUUAAUUCUUAGCCCCUUACAAAAUAAGUAUGUUUCUAUGGGAUAAAAGAUUUGAAGGAACAUUUCGAGUCUGUCUCAUGUAAUAAUUAAGAGGUUGGAAAUAUAUGAUAAAGAUGAUAAAGCAGUAAUCUUUUCAGAUUGCCAUAGUUAUUUAUGGAGGUGUGUGGUGUAAACUGGAGAAGUACUUAGUUUUGGAGACUGUGACUGUGGCUAAGUGCCUAAAUCUGUUUUCCUCAGUUUGUACUUCUCACAAAGAAAUGGAAUAGAAAUCAAUGAGGCACUAAGAGUAAAGUGGCUGAGAGAGAACCUAAAGCAGGACUUGGAGAAAGUGACAGAAAUGCUCAUACUGUGGUGAUUGAUUUAAUGAAAUACUGAAUUGUAGAAAAUAACAGAUUAGCAUGUCUUAUAAUAACAUUAACAUGUUUUAUAAUAGGGUAGUUGUAAUUAACUUUUAGUAUAUGUUAUGACAUUAUUGGCUAGUGCAUCACUGAACAGAAGAUACUUGUUUAUACAGUCAGGAGUCAAGUAACUUCCCCCAUUGACUUCUUUCUGGCUUAUUGCUAUUUACUAUUUUUAUCGAACACCUAUCUUAUUGGUAUAUAGCAUGUUUGUUGGUUUAUCAUAUUAAGCACAAGUAAUAUGAAUAAUCAUAAUAAUUUAGCAUGCCAGCUCAAAAAUCUGAUCAGAAAUGUUAAGAACAAAAUUUAUUGAUAAGUCUAAGCAGGAGCAAACAUAUACACCAAAGGAAUUCAAGUCAGUUUAGAUGCCAAAAUAGUGGAAACAUAUAUAGAUUUUUUUAAAAUUCUGUCUUUUUAACAACAGCUAUCUGAAAGUGGGAUAUACCUGCAUACAGGGUAAUAUGACUAAGAGGACGCUAACCUAACACCCUUUUUAUUCGUAUCAAUCCUGGAGUGGCAGGUCUGCCUUAAAAGGUCUGGAAAAUCACAAUAAUUAACAUUUAAGUAAUACUUUAAAUUCACAAAGCAUUUUCAUAUUUGUGACUGCAUUUGAUCUUAAGAACCCGGAGUGAUCAGGUAGGCAUUGUGGAUGAGGAUAUUAAAGUUUGGGGAGUUGUUGGCCUGUGCUCACUCACCUGAUAAGUAAUAAAGUUAAAGACUAAUCCUGUGUUCUUUCCACUUCACCACAUGUUCCGGAGCUUCUGUACUAAAAACUGGUUGCUUGUAAAUAAAGCCUCAAGAAAAUAUUUUAAAAUUAGGGUUAUCUGAUGUGAAAGGAUCUGAAUGAUGACUACAGUAUUUCCUCCACAUAUCUUCUGAGAGAGGAACAGGCUAUAUUGGUUUUAAGUGCCAAUUUUUAUUCAAAGAAGAGUUGCAUCAUAGUUACUAAAAUAUAUACUUUAGUGUCUGAGAAGGAUUAUGGAAUUUUCUUCAUAAGAAGAUAUUUGAAAAGAAAAUAUCCACUCAUUUAUCAAGGACUUAUUUGUAUAGUUUUACUUGGAGAUAGAUAAGUGACCUGCAAGUAUCACAUGUAAAGUGUAUACUCUUAUCAUACCAAUAACAUGUAUUGGACAUAAUUUAUAUAAUUAAAUGACAGCUAAAUCGUGUGCGUAAA
Long non-coding RNA from Myotis daubentonii (Daubenton's bat), 1795 nucleotides. RefSeq lists it as uncharacterized. The transcript has 2 exons. Lineage: Eukaryota; Metazoa; Chordata; Mammalia; Chiroptera; Vespertilionidae. The record is from RefSeq and is a predicted model, not a curated record.